Molecule: transfer RNA, 81 nt
Filed under: Paragonimus heterotremus
Lineage: Eukaryota; Metazoa; Platyhelminthes; Trematoda; Plagiorchiida; Troglotrematidae
Rfam family: tRNA
About the family: Transfer RNA (tRNA) molecules are approximately 80 nucleotides in length.
Source: Rfam by way of RNAcentral
GGCUUCGUAGCUCAGCUGGUAAAGCGCUUGCCGCGUAGAGGCAUGGUGUUUCUGUCGCUGGUUCGAAUCCAGCCGAAGCCC